RNAcentral lists this long non-coding RNA (633 nucleotides) under Homo sapiens (human). RNAcentral's name for it is "HSALNT0133752". The record is from RNAcentral. Lineage: Eukaryota; Metazoa; Chordata; Mammalia; Primates; Hominidae.
GACGAACCACACAAUACAUUCAUUUGCCAGUUGACCUGCAGAGAGUCGGCUCACUCUGUGCCGGGUGAGUCCCGGACGGAGGCUGCCAUGGAUGGCUGGCCCUCACUGAGUCCCUGGGGCGACUGUGGAGGCUGCAGAAGGGUCUUGAAGGAGCACAGCCCUACUUCUCUCCCCACAGCAAUGCCUGCCCUUCCCAGCCUGUGACCUUCCCCAAGGCGGCUCUGCCCUGCCCCUCCUCCCCUAUGGUUCUGUCCACCUUCUUGCUAGAAUAGCAGAUAUGCCAGACACAGCCGAGGAGACACUCGGGGUGACUACUCCAGAGGGCAUGUUCAAAGGAUCAGUAAUGCACAGUUUGAAAGGCACCUCUGCUGACAGGAAAGAACAUAUUCUGUGUGUUGGAAAAAACUACCAUCAAAACCCCCCAACCAACUGGCACCAUCCCCAUAGUUUUUGGCAGCAACAGCAAAGCACGGAGCCCUGCCAGGAGAAACAGCUUUGAAUUAAAAUAUAAAGCUAAUCAGAAUAUGGAUCACACAAAGCUGCCAGUCAUUUGAUGUGUGUGGGGAGUAAAACACCCCUGCCCUGCUAAGAAACUGCCCAAGGUCAUUGUCUCUUAUCAGCAAUUCUCACAAA